RNAcentral lists this ribosomal RNA (388 nucleotides) under Stipomorpha lanei. Its description in RNAcentral is "partial 28S ribosomal RNA". Lineage: Eukaryota; Metazoa; Arthropoda; Insecta; Diptera; Syrphidae. The record is from RNAcentral.
UUUUUUUUUUUAAAUUUAAAAUUGAAUAAAUUUUAUGAAUUUAAUAAACUGUUGACCGAUUUAAUUGUAAUAAUGUAAAAAAAUUUCUUUUAGAAAUUUUACAAUAAUUUUUAUUGUAUACAUUUUUAUGAUUUACAAUGCUAUAAAUUUAGGAUACCUUCGGGACCCGUCUUGAAACACGGACCAAGGAGUCUAACAUAUGUGCAAGUCGUUGAGUAAUUUAAAUAAAACUCAAAGGCAUAAUUAAAUUAACUGUUAUUUUAUAAUGGGAUUAGUUUAUAUAUAUCUUUUUUUUUAUUUAAUAAAAGAAAAAUGUUGUAAAUUCAAUCCCAGGGCGUUCUAUAUAGUUAUGCAUAAUAAUAUUUUAUAUUAUUUAUGUCUCUAACUG